AACGAACGCUGGCGGCAUGCCUAACACAUGCAAGUCGAACGAGACCUUCGGGUCUAGUGGCGCACGGGUGCGUAACGCGUGGGAACCUGCCCUUAGGUUCGGAAUAACUCCCCGAAAGGGGUGCUAAUACCGGAUAAUGUCUUCGGACCAAAGAUUUAUCGCCUUUGGAUGGGCCCGCGUUGGAUUAGCUAGUUGGUAGGGUAAAAGCCUACCAAGGCGACGAUCCAUAGCUGGUCUGAGAGGAUGAUCAGCCACACUGGGACUGAGACACGGCCCAGACUCCUACGGGAGGCAGCAGUGGGGAAUAUUGGACAAUGGGCGAAAGCCUGAUCCAGCAAUGCCGCGUGAGUGAUGAAGGCCUUAGGGUGGUAAAGCUCUUUUACCCGGGAUGAUAAGGACAGUACCGGGAGAAUAAGCUCCGGCUAACUCCGG
This 432-nucleotide ribosomal RNA is filed under the name uncultured bacterium. RNAcentral's name for it is "partial 16S ribosomal RNA". It matches the Rfam family "Bacterial small subunit ribosomal RNA", at positions 29 to 506 of the family's 1533-position model. The record is from RNAcentral.